Abrus precatorius (Indian licorice) is the source of this 107-nucleotide small nucleolar RNA. Lineage: Eukaryota; Viridiplantae; Streptophyta; Magnoliopsida; Fabales; Fabaceae. The record is from RefSeq and is a predicted model, not a curated record.
AGGGCAUGAUGUGGACAUUUUCUCAACAACUCCUUGAAUCGCUCCCAUGCAUCAUAAAGUGACUCUCCAUCCUUCUGAGCGAAGGUGUUAAUUUCAUUCCUCAACUU